Molecule: long non-coding RNA, 199 nt
Filed under: Gossypium barbadense (sea-island cotton)
Lineage: Eukaryota; Viridiplantae; Streptophyta; Magnoliopsida; Malvales; Malvaceae
Description: long non-coding RNA (GBAR_LNC000466)
Source: RNAcentral
CCCAAGUUCAAAUUCCAUGUUUUGCUCCUAAAUUUCAGCCACCACCAAUUUAAAUCCCAUCCAAAUUCCUUGCACCAUCAACAGCAGUCCACUGCUUGACCGACUCAAGCCGCUGCUAGGAGAGUUUCGGUCAAACUCUAACUCUUCCCCACGUGAGCAGCAAAAUUGGUCCUUCGCGCGCACAGCAGUUCGAACUCCA